UAUAUUUAUAUUCAUGAUAUUUUGUAUAUAGACAUGUGCAUAAUAACCCGAGUCAGGGACUGUCGGGGCUUCUCAUUGCCCGAUUGUCGGCUGAGGUUUGUUUUUUUUUAUGUUUUGGUUGGGUUUGGUUUGUUGUUGCCUGCCAUUCUGAGGGCUACCGUUGAGCGAUAAGACACAGCUGGCCGGAAAGACAAAUCAAUGAAAACAAAAAACAAA
Long non-coding RNA from Drosophila navojoa, 216 nucleotides. NCBI's taxonomy places the organism in Eukaryota, Metazoa, Arthropoda, Insecta, Diptera, Drosophilidae. The record is from RefSeq and is a predicted model, not a curated record.